UCGGGGUGGAUUAGUGGCGAACGGGUGAGUANACACNGUGGGCAAUCUGCCCUUCACUCUGGGACAAGCCCUGGAAACGGGGUCUAAUACCGGAUAACACUCUGUCCCGCAUGGGACGGGGUUAAAAGCUCCGGCGGUGAAGGAUGAGCCCGCGGCCUAUCAGCUUGUUGGUGGGGUGAUGGCCUACCAAGGCGACGACGGGUAGCCGGCCUGAGAGGGCGACCGGCCACACUGGGACUGAGACACGGCCCAGACUCCUACGGGAGGCAGCAGUGGGGAAUAUUGCACAAUGGGCGAAAGCCUGAUGCAGCGACGCCGCGUGAGGGAUGACGGCCUUCGGGUUGUAAACCUCUUUCAGCAGGGAAGAAGCGAGAGUGACGGUACCUGCAGAAGAAGCGCCGGCUAACUACGUGCCAGCAGCCGCGGUAAUACGUAGGGCGCAAGCGUUGUCCGGAAUUAUUGGGCGUAAAGAGCUCGUAGGCGGCUUGUUGCGUCGGUUGUGAAAGCCCGGGGCUUAACCCCGGGUCUGCAGUCGAUACGGGCAGGCUAGAGUGUGGUAGGGGAGAUCGGAAUUCCUGGUGUAGCGGUGAAAUGCGCAGAUAUCAGGAGGAACACCGGUGGCGAAGGCGGAUCUCUGGGCCAUUACUGACGCUGAGGAGCGAAAGCGUGGGGAGCGAACAGGAUUAGAUACCCUGGUAGUCCACGCCGU
Molecule: ribosomal RNA, 709 nt
Filed under: unidentified microorganism
Description: bacterial SSU rRNA
Rfam family: Bacterial small subunit ribosomal RNA
Source: RNAcentral